GUGGAGCCUGGCGACUGCUUUGGGAAGUCCUGCUGGCAGGCACUCUGCCCCUGGGGGUGUGCAAAGAGUUGUCCAGUUACCUUGAUCUUCUCACAGCCUCCUCCCCAGGGCACCAGGAGAGACCAGGAUUGGAGGACGGUAAAGAACACACUUCCCAGAGGAUUCUUGGAGGUGGCUUCCUCCAGGCAGUAAAUCUACAGCCCAGGCUCCCUGCAUCUUAUGGCUCCAAUCACUUUGGAUCUCAUCGUCGCCUGCACAUUGCCAUACACAGGGAAGGAGAAGAGAUGGAGAAGGCAAAGACUUUCUGAAAGCCGUGGCUAAAAGCUGGCAUGUGUCACAUCAGCUCACAUUCCAUUGUAGAGACGGGGUUUCACCGUGUUAGCCAGGAUGGUCUUGAUAUCCUGACCUCGUGAUCCGCCCGCCUUGGCUUCCCAAAGUGCUGGGAUUACAGGCGUGAGCCACCGCUCCCGGCCUGGCAGGCAUUCUUGAGGCAAACGGGAAAUGGGGUAAGUUACACAAUCGAUACAGCUCCGUCAUCGUGGUUUAAUUACUUUUCCACGUACCAUGUUUCCUGACAGGUAGAACGAUCAGCCUGGGCCUCCGUUUUUCAUUCUACAAAGAAUGAAGUGCAUGAACUGUCCUCUAUAGAAUUGUGGAAAAAGUUGUUUUUAUUGAGUUGUGGUUAUCUUUGUCUUCAUGGUCUAAUUACGGAAAUAAAUGCUUUUCCGAGUCUCCGGGGAUGGUCUGCCCUAGUCCAGCUCUCUGCAGUGUCUUUCUGGGUUUUUCCUCAGUGAACGGGAGGAACAUUGGCAGCACUUGUGGUCUGCACCAAGAACUGAAUCGAAUUUCCAUGUGUUAUUGAAUGUUCACAAAGACCUUGUACAGCGAGUGUUACUACCUCUGGUCAAUGAUUCAACUCAAGGCUCAGAAAAGUCAAGUGUCUUGUCCAGGGACACUUAGUCAGAAGUGAAUCCAAGGUUUAAGCUCAAGUCUGCCUAACUCUGAAUUUCACAGCCUUUUGCUACAUAUGGCGAAUAAUAUAUCCCUGAGCACUAAAGGCAGACUCCAAGGAUCUUGUCUCUGCAAUCAUCAUUCUGGCCAUAAUUUAUGAAAAGCAACCCAAAGUAUGUGAUGUAAUAAAAAGUACUAUCUAUGAGUUUACCCUUCCAAAAAUUGAACUGAAUUCUGAGCUCUAAAUUUGGAAUCAAAAGAACUUUUCUCUGCACUAAUCAUUUGGAACAUCACUUAAAGAAAACAACGAAAAACUGGUGUCCCCUGAGAGAAAGCAAUACAAAACAUUAUGCAUAAAGAAAUCCUUCCAAAAAAUAAACCAAAUCCAGUCAAAUCUCUAGUUUUGACUCCUAGCUUACCGGAAAUACGUGAUGGGAAAAAAAUGAAAUGACACCACUAUGAUUCAAUCAGCCAAAUCCAGCAUAUGCAAAUUUCUACCAGAUAAAUGGUUUAGUUUCUUCCCCAAACAAAUGGCACAAGGAAACGGAGAUGGAGUUCCCCUCUGCCACCCAGACUGGAGUACAGUGGCGCGAUCCUGGCCAUCGCAACCUCCGCCUCCCAGAUCCCUCCUACAACACAUGAGAAUUGUGGGUGCUACAAUUCAAGAUGAGAUUUGAGUGGGGACAAAGUCAAACCAUAUCAUUAGAUAGGACACUGGAGAAAGGCAAGAAAGAAAAGACAUCUGAAGAAUGAAGGGAGCCAAAGAAAUGCCAACAUUUUGCUUUUUGAAGAAAAGCUAAAUUAAAGUCAAAAUGGAUUUAUCAAUUUCCUUGGGUUCGUGAAUGUACAGAACUUUAUUAAGACUGUCAUGCUGUCAUCAUGGCUGGAUCUGAUACGGCCACCGUGGACCUUGAGGUGACCUCGGGAAUGGAGACAGUGCAUGGGAGAGAAUCACAUUGGAAGGGGCCUGGGUUUCUGAAGACCCUGUAAGACAGAUCUCCUUGCAGCCCUGACUGCCCACAUUAGGGCUUUUAUGUUAGGGUGAAGUUACCUUGCAUUGUCAUAUAAGCAAUUGCUAUUUGUGGUGUCUUGCAAAUAAACCUAUUCUGAUCUAGUAUGUUUCCUAA
This 2078-nucleotide long non-coding RNA is filed under the name Homo sapiens (human). RNAcentral describes it as "non-protein coding LINC00939:12". Lineage: Eukaryota; Metazoa; Chordata; Mammalia; Primates; Hominidae. The record is from RNAcentral.